UGGUUUUAGCCCAGCGGUUCCUUCGAGUCUGGCUUCCCAACCACCCAGGCCAAUUGGUCUCAUGGUUCGAGACCCGCAGGAACUCUCCA
Molecule: unclassified non-coding RNA, 89 nt
Organism: Cavia aperea (Brazilian guinea pig)
Lineage: Eukaryota; Metazoa; Chordata; Mammalia; Rodentia; Caviidae
Gene: Vault
Rfam family: Vault RNA
About the family: This family of RNAs are found as part of the enigmatic vault ribonucleoprotein complex.
Source: Ensembl